GGCACUGUGAUUACAUGGCCCUUUUCCUGGGCGAUAUACGCUAUUCCGAUUAGAAAAAUGAUGAGCUGAAAAUCCGGCAUGUUUCUUAUAAGAGCC
Eucalyptus grandis is the source of this 96-nucleotide non-coding RNA. The record is from Rfam. NCBI's taxonomy places the organism in Eukaryota, Viridiplantae, Streptophyta, Magnoliopsida, Myrtales, Myrtaceae.